Molecule: small RNA, 499 nt
Filed under: uncultured Glomus
Lineage: Eukaryota; Fungi; Glomeromycota; Glomeromycetes; Glomerales; Glomeraceae
Also listed under: 1 other name
Description: SSU rRNA
Rfam family: Eukaryotic small subunit ribosomal RNA
Source: RNAcentral
CCAAUAGCGUAUAUUAAAGUUGUUGCAGUUAAAAAGCUCGUAGUUGAAUUUCGGGAUCAAAUUGUCGGUCGUGCCUCGGUACGCACUGGUAUUAUUGGUUCCUACCUUCUGAAGAACCGCGAUGUCAUUAAUUUGGUGUCGUGGGGAAUCAGGACUGUUACUUUGAAAAAAUUAGAGUGUUUAAAGCAGGCUUACGCUUGAAUACAUUAGCAUGGAAUAAUGAAAUAGGACGUUUGAUUCUAUUUUGUUGGUUUCUAGGAUUGACGUAAUGAUUAAUAGGGAUAGUUGGGGGCAUUAGUAUUCAAUUGUCAGAGGUGAAAUUCUUGGAUUUAUUGAAGACUAACUACUGCGAAAGCAUUUGCCAAGGAUGUUUUCAUUAAUCAAGAACGAAAGUUAGGGGAUCGAAGACGAUCAGAUACCGUCGUAGUCUUAACCAUAAACUAUGCCGACUAGGGAUCGGAUGAUGUUAAUUUUUUAAUGACUCAUUCGGCGCCUUACG